CUGGCGGCAUGCCUACACUUUCCCGUCGACGCACUCUUCGGAGUGUGUGGCGCACGGGUGAGUAACGCGUGGGAACCUGCCCUGGGGACCGGAAUAACCCCUGGAAACGGUGGCUAAUACCCCAUACUCCUUUCGGGGCGAAAGAUUUAUCGCCCUUGGAUGGGCCCGCGUCCGAUUACCUAGUUGGUGGGGUAAAGGCCCACCAUGGCUACUAUCUGUAGCUGGUCUGAGAGGAUGAUCAGCCACACUGGGACUGAGACACGGCCCAGACUCCUACGGGAGGCAGCAGUGGGGAAUCUUGGACAAUGGGCGAAACCCUGAUCCAGCCAUGCCGCGUGAGUGAAGAAGGCCCUAGGGUUGUAAAGCUCUUUCAGCCGUGACGAUGAUGACGGUACCGACAGAAUAAGCCCCGGCUAACUCCGUGCCAGCAGCCGCGGUAAUACGGAGGGAGCUAGCGUUGUUCGGAAUUUACUGGGCGUAAAGCGGCGCGUAGGCGGAUUAUCAAGUCAGAGGUGAAAUCCCGGGGCUCAACCUGGGAA
Molecule: ribosomal RNA, 539 nt
Filed under: Phormidium subuliforme BDU 100712
Lineage: Bacteria; Bacillati; Cyanobacteriota; Cyanophyceae; Oscillatoriales; Oscillatoriaceae
Description: bacterial SSU rRNA
Rfam family: Bacterial small subunit ribosomal RNA
Source: RNAcentral